RNAcentral lists this transfer RNA (63 nucleotides) under Thalassaphorura encarpata. Its description in RNAcentral is "tRNA-Val". Lineage: Eukaryota; Metazoa; Arthropoda; Collembola; Poduromorpha; Onychiuridae. The record is from RNAcentral.
UUUUGUAGAGCUUGUUAAAGCUUUUUAUUUACAUUAAAAAUAACUAAUAAAUUAGUACAAAAU